CUGGCGGCAUUAGCGCGGUGGUCCCACCUGACCCCAUGCCGAACUCAGAAGUGAAACGCCGUAGCGCCGAUGGUAGUGUGGGGUCUCCCCAUGCGAGAGUAGGGAACUGCCAG
Molecule: ribosomal RNA, 113 nt
Filed under: Salmonella enterica subsp. enterica serovar Typhimurium
Lineage: Bacteria; Pseudomonadati; Pseudomonadota; Gammaproteobacteria; Enterobacterales; Enterobacteriaceae
Source: RNAcentral